CCUCUUCUCUCCUCUACCCUCUUCUCUCUUCUCUCCUCUACCCUCUUCUCUCCUCUACCCUCUUCUCUCCUCUACCCUCCUCUUCUCUCCUCUACCCUCCUCUUCUCUCCUCUCCUCUCCUCCCAUCUCCUCUUCUCUCCUCUUCUCUCCUCUACCCUCCUCUUCUCUCCUCUACCCUCCUCUCCUCUCACCUCCUCUCUCUCCCCCCUUUUGUUCAGUUGUCUUGUAUGUCAGUUAUAUGUGUACUUGAAAAGACAGGGCCGACUGAUUAGCACUAAUGUUGAGGGACCUGGGGUUGCAUAUCAACCUCACGAUGGUGACGCUACAGUCUACAUGCUGAUAACAUACGCUAUAACAAUACUUGUAUAAGUUUAGAGAUUCGGUUCUGUGACGUUGCAUCAUGUGGUCAAAACAACCUUUUCUUUCUGGGUGCGGAGAUGAGAGAUGGCGGAGCAUCUUUCUCUAUUCUAACAACCGGUCUGUUCUUUGUUAUUUUCUAUUCCUCAUGAGGCAUUUGUUGAAUUAGGUACCAUUUCGGAUGCAACCAAUGAGAGAGCUGUCUCUCUCUCUCUCUGCAGUGUGGUUGGUAGGUAGAUUUGGGCUCUAUGGUUUAGAAUAGAGCUCCUCUCUCUGCAGUGUGGUUGGUAGGUAGAUUUGGGCUCUGGUUUAGAACAGAGCUCCUCUCUCUCUGCAGUGUGGUUGGUAGGUAGAUUUGGGCUCUAUGGUUUAGAAUAGAGCUCCUCUCUCUCUGCAGUGUGGUUGGUAGGUAGAUUUGGGCUCUAUGGUUUAGAAUAGAGCUCCUCUCUCUCUGCAGUGUGGUUGGUAGGUAGAUUUGGGCUCUAUGGUUUAGAAUAGAGCUCCUCUCUCUCUGCAGUGUGGUUGGUAGGUAGAUUUGGGCUCUAUGGGUUGACGGUUAGAACAAAUAACCGUACAGAAUAAGACAUGUUUGUUUUUAAAUAGCUGGUAUCUAUUCAUGUUAAUUAGACAUUUCAAUCUUAAUACUAGACUUUCUUCUAGAUGUAUUUGUGUUCAGUAAUAGUCAUAUGUUUCACUUACUGCUGGUACAGUUGUACUCCAUGUUAUUAUUUAGGUAUCUUCUCUCUGGGAGCAGCCAGCUAGCGACACAGAGGGGACAGCCUUCUAUACUGCUCUAUCUGAUCAGUUGGGAGUAUAAUCUGCAACGUUAACAUGACGUCUCUAUAACGUUAACAUGACGUCUCUAUAACGUUAACAUGACGUCUCUACAACGUUAACGUAACAUCGCUAUAACGUUAACGUGACGUUUCUACAACGUUAACGUGACGUUUCUACAAUGUUAACGUGACGUCGCUAUAACGUUAACGUGACGUUUCUACAACGUUAACGUGACGUCGCUAUAACGUUAUUAAUAAUCCCUGGUACAGCGGGGGGUUUUUUGUGUUCAUGACUGAAUAAGAGAAAGGAAUGAAACAACCAGCCAGAGAGAUGGACCCAAACUCAACCACACGCUGAUCAUGAUUCUGUUGAGAAGGUUUCUUUUAUUUAGUAUUUUCGAUGUUGUUUCUUCUCUAGCGGUAGGUAGCUGUAGUUAGCGGUAGGUAGCUGUAGUUAGCGGUAGGUAGCUGUAGUUAGCGGUAGGUAGCUGUAGUUAGCGGUAGGUAGCUGUAGUUAGCGGUAGGUAGCUGUAGUUAGCGGUAGGUAGCUGUAGUUAGCGGUAGGUAGCUGUAGAUAGGCUGCGGCGGGUUGUGAAACUGACUUGUUUUAAUAACUCCUUUACUUCCUGUACCAAGGCAGCAGACAUUCCUUCCUGUAGGAAACCUAGUACAGGUGUUUCAUUCUUCUCAGUAUAGCUACUAACUUAUUAACGGAAAGGUGGUGAUUAGGGUUGUGAAAUUCCAGAAAAUGUUUCCAAAAUUCCCAGAUUUCCCGGAAUUUCCGGUUGGAAGAUUCUGGAAAAUCCAGGGAUCCUCCAACCAACUAGAAUUUCUGGGGGUGCUAGAACAUGAUAAAUCUCUGAGGGUUUAUGAGGCACUGUCCAUCUUAACGCUUUAAAACCCUUCAUACAUGUCCUUACAUUCCAUCAUCCCAACUCGUAUCCUUUGGACAUUUAGCAUAUUUACAUUUGACUAAAGCUAUACUUCCUAAAUGCUACCCUAUGUCCUAGGCAGUGCCCUACGUUUGACCUUCAUCUCCUCAGAGGAAGACGAGCAAGAGGAAGACGUUUGACAAUAUUCUCUUUUGGUGCUUUUCUCAAACGUGUCUGUCCAAAAGUAGUGCACUAUGUAGGGAAUAGGGAACCAUUUGGGAUGGAGCUGAAAACAUAUUCUCUGAGAGCCGGGAUCCAGCUGCCAGUCAGCUGUUGUUGUUGUUGUUAUUAUUAUUGACUUUUAAUGUUUAAUGAGUUUAGAUGUAAAGAAACUCUUCUAAUCUAUAGUAGUUCAUAACAGAUGAAUCGGUCUGUACUUUCUGUAAAUGUUACGAGAAAACAUUUUAUUUAGGCCAUUGUGGUGAAAUGAACUGUCAUUUUUAAUGCAUGAACACAGAGGGAAGGGGACACUAGUGUCCUGAAGUCAUUUAUCCUAAAACACAUUUCAUUACCGUCACUAGGUAGUAGUAGGGUUGCUAAUUUCUAAUACCUUUUCCUAAAAUUCCCAGGUUUUCAAAAAAUAAAAAUCCCGGUUGGAAGGAUUCACAGGAUCAGGAGGUGAAUCCUCCAAACAGAAUCUGGGCGUUUUUUGGGGAAGUUAACGUAAUUUGGGAGUCUCUCACUUGUUCUGCUUCGGGCGGUAAAUCACUUCAUGACAAAGUCUUUUUUUAUAUAGGUAACUAUAAGACCAUCAUUACGCUGUGCGUAACGAAAUGUACAGAGAAGAUAAAAAAUCAUAGGUAUUUUUGGAGGAUCAAUGAAUUUGUUAAUGACAUGUAGCUAUUUAAUUUCCCUUCUUUCUUUCUUUUUUUUGUCCAAUCAUGCAUUUUAUAACUUUUUGGUUUUUGGUGUAAAAAAAAAAAAAAAAAUUUUUUUUUUUUAGAUGUUUAUUUUUUUUAUUUUUAAAAGGUUAAAGUGCAGGAACACAGAAAUUAUAUGAAAACACUGCAUUGAUGAUAGCCACUUGUGUAUUUUGAUGAUAGCCACUUGUGUAUUUUGGCAGUUAUAAUGUUGCAUAAAGGCUACUCAGCAGACAGACAUAACGGUUAUGUCCCAACAUAUAUAAGGAAUUGUGUCAUUUGUAACCAAUCCUCUUUAUUUCAACCAUGUGCCUCUUGAGACAAUUGAACAAAAAAUAUAUCGUUGUCAUCCAUCUUGUUUGACUUCUUUUUGUGAUCCAGUAAUAACAGGUGUAUAGCCAGAUGGUCAUCCAACCAGUUUGGGAUAAAGAUGCUACUGUAUUAGCUAUGUUAUUUAAUGGAAGAUCCCAGGAAGACUGGCUGUGUGCUUCCACAUCAAUGAUAUGCAUCCAAAAUGGCACUGUUUCCCUGUAUAUUGUACUAGUCAACAGCAGAUACAUAGGGAAUUAGGUACCAUUUCGGGUGCAACCAAUGAGACACUAAAUAUUCACGUUCCUUCACUUGGAAGCUGCACCAACAUUGUCCAUGCUGUUAGUAAAUCUGUUCAACCUUAAUUUUGUGGCCUUGUUCCUCCAACUAAAAAGGUUUUGGCAGGCCACCUUUUUUUGUACUUAAGUAGUAUUGAUGAACAAUAAACUGCUCUUAAACCUCAA
This is a long non-coding RNA of Oncorhynchus tshawytscha (Chinook salmon), 3698 nucleotides long. The record is from Ensembl. Lineage: Eukaryota; Metazoa; Chordata; Actinopteri; Salmoniformes; Salmonidae.